RNAcentral lists this ribosomal RNA (1371 nucleotides) under uncultured bacterium. RNAcentral's name for it is "bacterial SSU rRNA". It matches the Rfam family "Bacterial small subunit ribosomal RNA", at positions 28 to 1381 of the family's 1533-position model. The record is from RNAcentral.
GAUGAACGCUGGCGGCGUGCCUAAUACAUGCAAGUCGAACGCGCAGCGAAAGGUGCUUGCACCUUUCAAGCGAGUGGCGAACGGGUGAGUAACACGUGGAUAACCUGCCUCAAGGCUGGGGAUAACAUUUGGAAACAGAUGCUAAUACCAAAUAAAACUUAGUAUCGCAUGAUACAAAGUUAAAAGGCGCUACGGCGUCACCUAGAGAUGGAUCCGCGGUGCAUUAGUUAGUUGGUGGGGUAAAGGCUUACCAAGACAAUGAUGCAUAGCCGAGUUGAGAGACUGAUCGGCCACAUUGGGACUGAGACACGGCCCAAACUCCUACAGGAGGCUGCAGUAGGGAAUCUUCCACAAUGGGCGCAAGCCUGAUGGAGCAACGCCGCGUGUGUGAUGAAGGCUUUCGGGUCGUAAAGCACUGUUGUAUGGGAAGAAAUGCUAAAAUAGGGAAUGAUUUUAGUUUGACGGUACCAUACCAGAAAGGGACGGCUAAAUACGUGCCAGCAGCCGCGGUAAUACGUAUGUCCCGAGCGUUAUCCGGAUUUAUUGGGCGUAAAGCGAGCGCAGACGGUUGAUUAAGUCUGAUGUGAAAGCCCGGAGCUCAACUCCGGAAUGGCAUUGGAAACUGGUUAACUUGAGUGUUGUAGAGGUAAGUGGAACUCCAUGUGUAGCGGUGGAAUGCGUAGAUAUAUGGAAGAACACCAGUGGCGAAGGCGGCUUACUGGACAACAACUGACGUUGAGGCUCGAAAGUGUGGGUAGCAAACAGGAUUAGAUACCCUGGUAGUCCACACCGUAAACGAUGAAUACUAGGUGUUAGGAGGUUUCCGCCUCUUAGUGCCGAAGCUAACGCAUUAAGCAUUCCGCCUGGGGAGUACGACCGCAAGGUUGAAACUCAAAGGAAUUGACGGGGACCCGCACAAGCGGUGGAGCAUGUGGUUUAAUUCGAAGCAACGCGAAGAACCUUACCAGGUCUUGACAUCCUUUGAAGCUUUUAGAGAUAGAAGUGUUCUCUUCGGAGACAAAGUGACAGGUGGUGCAUGGUCGUCGUCAGCUCGUGUCGUGAGAUGUUGGGUUAAGUCCCGCAACGAGCGCAACCCUUAUUGUUAGUUGCCAGCAUUCAGUUGGGCACUCUAGCGAGACUGCCGGUGACAAACCGGAGGAAGGCGGGGACGACGUCAGAUCAUCAUGCCCCUUAUGACCUGGGCUACACACGUGCUACAAUGGCGUAUACAACGAGUUGCCAACCUGCGAAGGUGAGCUAAUCUCUUAAAGUACGUCUCAGUUCGGACUGCAGUCUGCAACUCGACUGCACGAAGUCGGAAUCGCUAGUAAUCGCGGAUCAGCACGCCGCGGUGAAUACGUUCCCGGGUCU